RNAcentral lists this ribosomal RNA (681 nucleotides) under Pluteus karstedtiae. Its description in RNAcentral is "eukaryotic LSU rRNA". The stretch from base 290 to 443 matches the Rfam family "5.8S ribosomal RNA". The record is from RNAcentral. Lineage: Eukaryota; Fungi; Basidiomycota; Agaricomycetes; Agaricales; Pluteaceae.
AAGGUUUCCGUAGGUGAACCUGCGGAAGGAUCAUUAUUGAAUAAACUUGUGUGGGUUGUUGCUGACCUCCUUGGAGGUAUGUGCACACCUGCCAUUGUUUCAUUCAUCCCUUCCACCUGUGCACUCUCUGUAGGCCCCAUGCUGUCAUCUUUCAGGUGUUUCUACCCCUGGUAUGAGGACUGCUCUUGCUGUCCUUGGAUGGUGUGUGGUCUAUGUCUUUACCAACUCCUAUUGUAUGUCAUUGAAUGUUUGCUCUGGGUUCUCUCUGUAGACCCAUAAAAAUCUAUACAACUUUCAACAACGGAUCUCUUGGCUCUCGCAUCGAUGAAGAACGCAGCGAAAUGCGAUAAGUAAUGUGAAUUGCAGAAUUCAGUGAAUCAUCGAAUCUUUGAACGCACCUUGCGCUCCUUGGCAUUCCGAGGAGCAUGCCUGUUUGAGUGUCAUUAAAUUCUCAACACCCUCUUUCUCUCUUGUGGGUCAGUGGAUGUUGGAUGAUGGAAGCUUGCUGGCUUUUGUGGGUCAGCUCUUCUGAAAUGCAUUAGCAGGGCCACCGUAUACACAGCUGUGGCUUCGGUAUUGAUGGUUGUCAUACCCAAGCAACAGAUGAGUGAUGUGCUCAGCUCAUAGCCGUCUCUCUGAGACAACAAACUUGACAAUUUGACCUCAAAUCAGGUAGGACUA